ACGAACGCUGGCGGCGUGCCUAAUACAUGCAAGUUGAGCGCUGAAGGUUGGUACUUGUACCCACUGGAUGAGCAGCGAACGGGUGAGUAACGCGUGGGGAAUCUGCCUUUGAGCGGGGGACAGCAUUUGGAAACGAAUGCUAAUACCGCAUAAAAACUUUAAACACAAGUUUUAAGUUUGAAAGAUGCAAUUGCAUCACUCAAAGAUGAUCCCGCGUUGUAUUAGCUAGUUGGUGAGGUAAAGGCUCACCAAGGCGAUGAUACAUAGCCGACCUGAGAGGGUGAUCGGCCACAUUGGGACUGAGACACGGCCCAAACUCCUACGGGAGGCAGCAGUAGGGAAUCUUCGGCAAUGGACGAAAGUCUGACCGAGCAACGCCGCGUGAGUGAAGAAGGUUUUCGGAUCGUAAAACUCUGUUGGUAGAGAAGAACGUUGGUGAGAGUGGAAAGCUCAUCAAGUGACGGUAACUACCCAGAAAGGGACGGCUAACUACGUG
RNAcentral lists this ribosomal RNA (496 nucleotides) under uncultured bacterium. Its description in RNAcentral is "partial 16S ribosomal RNA". It matches the Rfam family "Bacterial small subunit ribosomal RNA", at positions 29 to 507 of the family's 1533-position model. The record is from RNAcentral.